This 1340-nucleotide long non-coding RNA is filed under the name Sus scrofa (pig). RNAcentral describes it as "lncRNA (ENSSSCG00070009811.1)". Lineage: Eukaryota; Metazoa; Chordata; Mammalia; Artiodactyla; Suidae. The record is from RNAcentral.
CCAGACACGGACCUCCCCCUCGACGGCCCGGGGCACCGAGCAGUCACGUCGGGACCGGCCGACACGCGCGCGCCCUCGCUCGAGCGGACAGGAGAGGGGUGGCAACGAGGGCCAAGGCCCAAGGCCCCUCCCCCCCACCCACCCAGGAGCGGCACGGCUAUGACGGCCGGCCCGCAGCGGCUAGCCGGGUCCCGACUCGCGCUCAGGUGAGCUCAGCAGAGCCGGGAGGGAGGGGCACGCGGCAGGGGGUGGGGGGUGGCAGAAGGCCACCCCUCGACCACACGCAACGACACCGGCGGACAGGCGGGGCAAGGAAGCGGCGGCGGGCACGGAGCGGGGCCGCAGCGGGCCCAGGAAAGCGAGACGCACCAGGACGCCGGUCCGGGGUCGGCAGAUGGGGACCAGACAGACGGAGGUCAGACAGACGAGCGGGAGCGAGGAGGGCGAACGUGGGAGCGGCCGGCAUCGAGAGAGAUGCCACAAAGGGACGGUGGCGGAGGGGCGGCCGCAGGCCUCCAACGAGGUGGGGGGGGCCACGGGGACCAUCCCCAAAAACCAGAUGCGAGUCGGCUGCCAGGGCACGACACGGGGUCUCACCGCCAGAGGCCUCCAGCACAACGGCGGUCCCGCCGCAACACCCAGGACGCCGACUGGCCUCCCCCUCAACCCCUGGGGCCCCCCCUCGCGGGGCCCCACGACCGCCACCGACGACACCGACGAGCCACAGCCGGCCCCGUGGAAACAAGUCUCCCAAGGCACCUACCGACGACCACCCCCACACCCCACACGCACCCGCCGUGCCCAACCCUCUUCCCCACCCCCCCGCGCACAGGGGGACACCCGAGAAGCACAUCACCCAGGGACACCCGCCCGGCCACGGCGGCCAGGGGGUGACACCCACACGAGGUGAGGCCAUUUCAGGUCCCCGGUUGACACGGGGGCGGGAGGGAGAGAGACAUGGCACAGGCAAGGCAGGGACGCGGGUGCCUGCCCAGGGAGAGGAGAAAGGACCCAGGCACGCCAGGCAAACCAGCACGGGGUCACACCACCACACACACGAGGGCAGUCCCAUGACACCUGGGACACCAGGCGGCCUCAGUCGCCCAGAGCACUCCACGACCCGGCCCCACCCAGGGCCCCAUGUGCAAAGCUUCCCCCCCCCUGCCACGUGGGGGGGGGGCUCGUCCGCCUCAUCUCACCCAUCCGUCCAUCUUUCCACCCUCAUCUCAUCCGUCCUUCACCUAGUCCACCCUCCAGGGCCUGACGCCUGGGGGAAACGCUCCUGAGCGAGGCGGCCCGAACCAUGCUCGCUCACCACCUCCACACCACCAGCUGCGACC